CAAGACAGCAGAACGACUGGCACCCAGGUUAAUAAAGAGAGCAGAACGACUGGCACCCAGGUUAAUAAAGAGAGCAGAACGACUGGCACCCAGGUUAAUAAAGACAGCAGAACGACUGGCACCCAGGUUAAUAAAGACAGCAGAACGACUGGCACCCAGGUUAAUAAAGACAGCAGAACGACUGGCACCCAGGUUAAUAAAGACAGCAGAACUGGCACCCAGGUUAAUAAAGACAGCAGAACGACUGGCACCCAGGUUAAUAAAGACAGCAGAACGACUGGCACCCAGGUUAAUAAAGACAGCAGAACGACUGGCACCCAGGUUAAUAAAGACAGCAGAACGACUGGCACCCAGGUUAAUAAAGACAGCAGAACUGGCACCCAGGUUAAUAAAGACAGCAGAACGACUGGCACCCAGGUUAAUAAAGACAGCAGAACGACUGGCACCCAGGUUAAUAAAGACAGCAGAACAACUGGCACCCAGGUUAAUAAAGACAGCAGAACGACUGGCACCCAGGUUAAUAAAGACAGCAGAACGACUGGCACCCAGGUUAAUAAAGACAGCAGAACGACUGGCACCCAGGUUAAUAAAGACAGCAGAACAACUGGCACCCAGGUUAAUAAAGACAGCAGAACGACUGGCACCCAGGUUAAUAAAGACAGCAGAACUGGCACCCAGGUUAAUAAAGACAGCAGAACGACUGGCACCCAGGUUAAUAAAGACAGCAGAACGACUGGCACCCAGGUUAAUAAAGAGAGCAGAACGACUGGCACCCAGGUUAAUAAAGACAGCAGAACGACUGGCACCCAGGUUAAUAAAGACAGCAGAACUGGCACCCAGGUUAAUAAAGACAGCAGAACGACUGGCACCCAGGUUAAUAAAGACAGCAGAACGACUGGCACCCAGGUUAAUAAAGACAGCAGAACGACUGGCACCCAGGUUAAUAAAGACAGCAGAACGACUGGCACCCAGGUUAAUAAAGACAGCAGAACUGGCACCCAGGUUAAUAAAGACAGCAGAACGACUGGCACCCAGGUUAAUAAAGACAGCAGAACGACUGGCACCCAGGUUAAUAAAGACAGCAGAACAACUGGCACCCAGGUUAAUAAAGACAGCAGAACGACUGGCACCCAGGUUAAUAAAGACAGCAGAACGACUGGCACCCAGGUUAAUAAAGACAGCAGAACGACUGGCACCCAGGUUAAUAAAGACAGCAGAACAACUGGCACCCAGGUUAAUAAAGACAGCAGAACUGGCACCCAGGUUAAUAAAGACAGCAGAACGACUGGCACCCAGGUUAAUAAAGACAGCAGAACGACUGGCACCCAGGUUAAUAAAGACAGCAGAACGACUGGCACCCAGGUUAAUAAAGAGAGCAGAACGACUGGCACCCAGGUUAAUAAAGAGAGCAGAACGACUGGCACCCAGGUUAAUAAAGAGAGCAGAACGACUGGCACCCAGGUUAAUAAAGAGAGCAGAACGACUGGCACCCAGGUUAACAAAGAGAGCAGAACGACUGGCACCCAGGUUAAUAAAGAGAGCAGAACUGGCACCCAGGUUAAUAAAGACAGCAGAACGACUGGCACCCAGGUUAAUAAAGACAGCAGAACUGGCACCCAGGUUAAUAAAGACAGCAGAACGACUGGCACCCAGGUUAAUAAAGACAGCAGAACGACUAGCACCCAGGUUAAUAAAGAGAGCAGAACAACUGGCACCCAGGUUAAUAAAGAGAGCAGAACGACUGGCACCCAGGUUAAUAAAGAGAGCAGAACUGGCACCCAGGUUAAUAAAGACAGCAGAACGACUGGCACCCAGGUUAAUAAAGACAGAAGAACGACUGGCACCCAGGUUAAUAAAGACAGCAGAACGACUGGCACCCAGGUUAAUAAAGACAGCAGAACUGGCACCCAGGUUAAUAAAGACAGCAGAACGACUGGCACCCAGGUUAAUAAAGACAGCAGAACGACUGGCACCCAGGUUAAUAAAGACAGCAGAACAACUGGCACCCAGGUUAAUAAAGACAGCAGAACGACUGGCACCCAGGUUAAUAAAGACAGCAGAACGACUGGCACCCAGGUUAAUAAAGACAGCAGAACGACUGGCACCCAGGUUAAUAAAGACAGCAGAACGACUGGCACCCAGGUUAAUAAAGACAGCAGAACGACUGGCACCCAGGUUAAUAAAGACAGCAGAACGACUGGCACCCAGGUUAAUAAAGACAGCAGAACUGGCACCCAGGUUAAUAAAGACAGCAGAACGACUGGCACCCAGGUUAAUAAAGAGAGCAGAACGACUGGCACCCAGGUUAAUAAAGACAGCAGAACAACUGGCACCCAGGUUAAUAAAGACAGCAGAACGACUGGCACCCAGGUUAAUAAAGACAGCAGAACGACUGGCACCCAGGUUAAUAAAGACAGCAGAACUGGCACCCAGGUUAAUAAAGACAGCAGAACGACUGGCACCCAGGUUAAUAAAGACAGCAGAACGACUGGCACCCAGGUUAAUAAAGACAGCAGAACGACUGGCACCCAGGUUAAUAAAGACAGCAGAACGACUGGCACCCAGGUUAAUAAAGACAGCAGAACUGGCACCCAGGUUAAUAAAGACAAGAGAGCAGAACUGGCACCCAGGUUAAUAAAGACAGCAGAACGACUGGCACCCAGGUUAAUAAAGACAGCAGAACUGGCACCCAGGUUAAUAAAGACAGCAGAACGACUGGCACCCAGGUUAAUAAAGACAGCAGAACGACUAGCACCCAGGUUAAUAAAGAGAGCAGAACAACUGGCACCCAGGUUAAUAAAGAGAGCAGAACGACUGGCACCCAGGUUAAUAAAGAGAGCAGAACUGGCACCCAGGUUAAUAAAGACAGCAGAACGACUGGCACCCAGGUUAAUAAAGACAGAAGAACGACUGGCACCCAGGUUAAUAAAGACAGCAGAAUGA
RNAcentral lists this long non-coding RNA (2943 nucleotides) under Salmo trutta (river trout). RNAcentral describes it as "lncRNA (ENSSTUG00000000593.1)". Lineage: Eukaryota; Metazoa; Chordata; Actinopteri; Salmoniformes; Salmonidae. The record is from RNAcentral.